This is a non-coding RNA of Glycine soja, 84 nucleotides long. Lineage: Eukaryota; Viridiplantae; Streptophyta; Magnoliopsida; Fabales; Fabaceae. The record is from Rfam.
GCGAGGUGAUGAUAGCAAUUCAUUUGUCUGUCAAUCCGCUGAUUUCGUGUGAUGUACUAAUGAAUCCCGACAGGUUCUGAUCGC